AUUGAACGCUGGCGGCAGGCCUAACACAUGCAAGUCGAGCGGAUGAAUGGAGCUUUCUCCUGGCUUCAGCUGCGGACGGGCGGGUAAUGCCUAGGAAUCUGCCUGGCCUUGGGGGCUAACGUCCGUUCACGGGCGCUAAUACCGCAUCCGUUCUUAUGGUGAACGUCGGGGAUCUUCGGACCUCACGCUUUCUGAUGACCCUUGGUCGGAUUAGCUAGUUGGUUGGGUAAAGGCCUACCAAGGCGACGAUCCGUAACUGAUCUGAGAGGAUGAUCAGUCACACUGGAACUGAGACACGGUCCAGACUCCUACGGGAGGCAGCAGUAGGGAAUAUUGGACAAUGGGCGAAAGCCUGAUCCAGCCAUGCCGCGUGUGUGAAGAAGGUCUUCGGAUUGUAAAGCACUUUAAGUUGGGAAGAAGAGAAGUGAGUGAAUACCUUGAUGUUUUGACGGUACCAACAGAAUAAGCACCGGCUAACUACGUG
This 484-nucleotide ribosomal RNA is filed under the name uncultured bacterium. RNAcentral's name for it is "partial 16S ribosomal RNA". It matches the Rfam family "Bacterial small subunit ribosomal RNA", at positions 30 to 507 of the family's 1533-position model. The record is from RNAcentral.